Molecule: long non-coding RNA, 944 nt
Organism: Panicum virgatum (switchgrass)
Lineage: Eukaryota; Viridiplantae; Streptophyta; Magnoliopsida; Poales; Poaceae
Exons: 2
Source: RefSeq, a predicted model, not a curated record
UAGAGGACCAAUGUUGGCGGCGCUCAGGCCAACCCCUAUCUCGGUGUUUUCUCUCACAUCACAGCAGCGGUUGAGCUCCUGCGGCCGCUGCCGGGCCGGCCGCCUUCUCUCUUCGGCCACCUUCCUCAAGUGCCCUCCACCGCCAGAUCAGCCGAUGGGAGCGGGCAACCUCCGCUGAGAGCCUACGGUAUGUAAAAAUCUAUACUUCUUGAUGUGCUUACCCUUCCCAAUCGGGUUUGCAGUCAAUGGAUCGAACUCACCCCAGCCCAAAUCUAGCUCUUUGCCCUCCGAUUAAGCCUUUGAUUGAUUAACUUUCUGUCUAUUUCCUCCUUCACAUCGAAUCCAUCUCCCAAGUCCCAACUCUAUUCCUCCCUGCUAGAUUGUUUUUUUCAGGUCCAAUCCAUGCCUUUCCCCUUUUCUGGCUAGAAUUAGAACACAUUUCCUUCCAAAAUGGGUGCAGCAGCAUGUUCGAAUCGCCAUCUCAAAAUAGACUGAUUGUGCCUUCUCCAGUUCUCUCUUCAGUGAUUUACUAAAAGUUAGUUACAUCACUUAUUUAUUUCCAUUCUUGCAUUGUAGUCCCUACAAACUGAAUGUUUAGAACUCGAUUUGCUUACCUGCUUCACUGAAAUGCAUAUUAAAAAACUGGUUACUACAUUUUCUCUUGAAGAUUUCCAUUUUUUUCACCUUCUCAUUUUAUUUACGUGCUUCUAAAUAUGAUCAGGUAGCCCCCUGCCUCUCUCGAAGAAGGUUCUGUUUCUGACAUUAUCCAGAGUUUUAUUUACAACAAAUUUAUUUAUGGAUGAUUCCUGUUUUUGUAGGCUGCAAAGUAAACUGAAUGAUCAUUCAUACCAAUGUAGCAUCGCUAAGUAAAAUAUGCUCAUCAGACUGUCUCCAACAGCGGAUACCUAAAUGCGAGACGCAUUUGUUUGUUUGGGUCACACACA